AGCAGCCGCGGUAAUUCCAGCUCCAAUAGCGUAUAUUAAAGUUGUUGCAGUUAAAAAAGACUCGUAGUUGAAUUUCGGGAUCAAUCUGUUGGUCGUGCCUUUGGUACGUACUAGCUUAUUGAUUUCUCCCUUCUGACGAACCACGAUGUCAUUAAUUUGGUGUCAUGGGAAAUCAGGACUGUUACUUUGAAAAAAAUUAGAGUGUUUAAAGCAGGCUCACGCUUGAAUACAUUAGCAUGGAAUAAUGAAAUAGGACGUUUUGAUUCUAUUUUGUUGGUUUCUAGGAUCGACGUAAUGAUUAAUAGGGAUAGUUGGGGGCAUUAGUAUUCAAUUGUCAGAGGUGAAAUUCUUGGAUUUAUUGAAGACUAACUACUGCGAAAGCAUUUGCCAAGGAUGUUUUCAUUAAUCAAGAACGAAAGUUAGGGGAUCGAAGACGAUCAGAUACCGUCGUAGUCUUAACCAUAAACUAUGCCGACUAGGGAUCGGAUGAUGUUAAUUUUUAAUGACUCAUUCGGUGCCG
Molecule: ribosomal RNA, 520 nt
Filed under: uncultured Glomus
Lineage: Eukaryota; Fungi; Glomeromycota; Glomeromycetes; Glomerales; Glomeraceae
Description: SSU rRNA
Rfam family: Eukaryotic small subunit ribosomal RNA
Source: RNAcentral